GACGAACGCUGGCGGCGUGCUUAACACAUGCAAGUCGAACGGAAAGGCCCUGCUUUUGUGGGGUUCUCGAUUGGCGAACGGGUGAGUAACACAUGAGUAUCCUGCCCUUGACUUUGGUAUAUCUUCAGGAAACUGGGGCUCAUACCGCAUAUUAUCUCCUGCUGCAUGUUGUGGGUUGGAAAGUUUCGGCGGUUGUGGAUGGACUCGCGGCUUAUCCGCUUGUUUGUGGGGUAGUGGCUUACCAAGGCUUUGACGGGUAGCCUGCAUGAGAGUGUUACCGGCCACAUUGGGACUGAGAGACGGACCAGAAGCCUACGGGAGGCAGCAGGGGGGAAUAUUGCACAAUGGGCGGAAGCCUGAUGCAGAAACGCCGCGAGCGGGAUGACGGCCUUCGGGUUGUAAACCGAUGUCGAAUGUGACGAAGAGUGAGUGACGGUAAUGGGUAAAGAAGCACCGGCUAACUACGUG
RNAcentral lists this ribosomal RNA (468 nucleotides) under uncultured bacterium. RNAcentral's name for it is "partial 16S ribosomal RNA". It matches the Rfam family "Bacterial small subunit ribosomal RNA", at positions 28 to 507 of the family's 1533-position model. The record is from RNAcentral.